GGGGGUAGUCCGUACGAGCGCACCCUUGUCCUUAGUUACCAGCACGUUAAGGUGGGCACUCUAAGGAGACUGCCGGUGACAAACCGGAGGAAGGUGGGGAUGACGUCAAGUCAUCAUGGCCCUUACGGCCUGGGCUACACACGUGCUACAAUGGUCGGUACAAAGGGUUGCCAAGCCGCGAGGUGGAGCUAAUCCCAUAAAACCGAUCGUAGUCCGGAUCGCAGUCUGCAACUCGACUGCGUGAAGUCGGAAUCGCUAGUAAUCGUGAAUCAGAAUGUCACGGUGAAUACGUUCCCGGGCCUUUGUACACCCCCGCCCCGUA
RNAcentral lists this ribosomal RNA (322 nucleotides) under uncultured bacterium. RNAcentral describes it as "bacterial SSU rRNA". It matches the Rfam family "Bacterial small subunit ribosomal RNA", at positions 1077 to 1399 of the family's 1533-position model. The record is from RNAcentral.